Molecule: long non-coding RNA, 923 nt
Organism: Notothenia coriiceps (black rockcod)
Lineage: Eukaryota; Metazoa; Chordata; Actinopteri; Perciformes; Nototheniidae
Exons: 3
Source: RefSeq, a predicted model, not a curated record
UUCCCCAGUGCUGUUGCCGGGUAAAUGUUGGGCGUUUCACGGUGUGCAGGGCACGCUCCUGAUCUCCCUCUCUCACCCCAUCACCGUGAGUCACGUGACCCUGGACCACCUCCCCCGAUACAACUCUCCCACCGGACGCAUCGACUCCGCCCCCCGAGACCUCCAGGUCUACGGCAUGAGAGAGGAGUCAGAGGAAGGCUCUCUGCUCGGGACGUUCACCUACGAUGAGAACGGAGAAUCUACGCAGACGUUCAAACUGCCCAUCUCCAGUGUUGUCUACAGACUGGUGGAGUUACGUGUUCUCAGUAAUUGGGGUCACGUUGACUACACGUGUCUUUAUCGUUUCCGUGUUCACGGGCAGAUUUCCUCGUCGUGAGACAACACAGCAGGAAGUACAUCUCGGGUGUGCCAUGUUUUAAAAAACAAUAAUAAAUGAAGUAUGGAGAGGUGCGUUCAGGACCAAAUGCUACUGAGAAGAUGUCUAGUGUUGCGUUAGAGAGUGUGUUUUAAUGAUCACAGAAAUCAUAGGAAGGAAUUCAACAAAUGAAGAGUGUACAUAGUGCUUCUAAAAACCAAAGAUCUACCUGCUGAAACCAUGUAGGAGCAUAUCGUUCUGGAAACAGUAUGCUUGUGAGAGUGCCACAGAAUCAUUUUAUAACGUUUGUUUUUAAUAUUAAUUAUUACUAUGUAUCAGCUAUAGAGAGGUGCAGGGAUGUCGUAUUCCCAUGUUGGUCCCUGAAGGCAGCAUCUCCUGGUCCAAUGGGAUUCCUCCAUGUGAUUUUGGAUUAUUGCAGAAAAUAAUCUCUGUGUCAAACAAAUGUUUACGAUACUUACACGUUUUGUUUCUGAAGUAAAUUGCUAAUGCUAAAGGCGGCUAACGUAGAGCUAUAAAGGAACAACAGCACGGUCACAUGACUUCACGU